Capsicum annuum is the source of this 340-nucleotide long non-coding RNA. RefSeq lists it as uncharacterized. The transcript has 4 exons. Lineage: Eukaryota; Viridiplantae; Streptophyta; Magnoliopsida; Solanales; Solanaceae. The record is from RefSeq and is a predicted model, not a curated record.
CAAGUAUAUCUAUAAUUACUUGGUUACAAAGGGGUUGCAUAAGAUUGCUGAGAUAUUUGCAAUCAAAGCAAAUGUUGUAAAUCCCGCAAAUGUUGCCAACCAAUGGAGCAGAUCUCAAGUAUGCCUCAACAGUCGGAGGGCAAAGAAGAGGGAGAGGGAGAUAAUAUUAACUUUGAACGAACUGUGCAGAUGGAACCAAACUCUCGUCCCCUUAAAAAGAUUAGGCUUUCAGUGCCAGAACUUUCUGAAGCAGGUUGUUCUGUGAUGCAGCAAACUCCCUAGUUUAAUCAAGAUCUUACAAUUGUACGAUCUUCCUCUGGGUAUGGCAUUAAGAAGGUGA